This is a non-coding RNA of Paramuricea clavata, 299 nucleotides long. Lineage: Eukaryota; Metazoa; Cnidaria; Anthozoa; Malacalcyonacea; Plexauridae. The record is from the annotation of a GenBank genome assembly.
CUUAUUCGGGACCCACGACUUUUUUCUCGGGAUCCACGACUUUUUAUUCGGUACCCACGACUUUUUAAUCGGGACCCACGACUUUUUACCCACGACCCACGACUUUUUACCCACGACAUUCUACCCACGACCCACGACAUUCUACCCACGACCCACGACUGUUAUUCCCACGACUUUUUACCCACGACCCACGACUUUUUACCCACGACCCACGACUUUUUACCCACGACAUUCUACCCACGACCCACGACAUUCUACCCACGACCCACGACUGUUAGCUAGUCCCUAUUUUAACACCA